RNAcentral lists this long non-coding RNA (342 nucleotides) under Mus spicilegus (steppe mouse). RNAcentral describes it as "lncRNA (ENSMSIG00000019715.1)". The record is from RNAcentral. Lineage: Eukaryota; Metazoa; Chordata; Mammalia; Rodentia; Muridae.
CUUAUCCAUAUUAAUGUUAAAGUAUUAAAUCACAUUGUUCUUCCUUUUCAUUCAAGAAAACAACAAGAACUACAAGAGCUUUACAAAGGAAUGCUUUCAAGUGCUUCAGUGACAAGAUUUUGUAGCCUUAGUGUUGAUAUCCUAUCCUGCUGAAAAAUAUCACAUUUAGAAAGUAGCUGUUAAUUCACCUUGAUUAUGUUCCCAGUCAGUGACAUAAUGAGCUAUCUGCUGAGAAAUCUAUUAUGGGCAAUCGGCUCGCAUGAAGGAAUCUUGAGUAUUUACAUGUUACUCCAUUCAUUUCAAAGGAAACUUUUAAGCAAACUCUUCAUUGGCCAUCCAUGA